Molecule: ribosomal RNA, 496 nt
Filed under: uncultured bacterium
Lineage: Bacteria
Description: partial 16S ribosomal RNA
Rfam family: Bacterial small subunit ribosomal RNA
Source: RNAcentral
AACGAACGCUGGCGGCGCGUCUUACGCAUGCAAGUCGAACGGCAAGAGAGGAGCUUGCUUCUCUCCUAGAGUGGCGGACUGGUGAGGAACACGUGGGUAAUCUACCCUUAAGAUGGGGAUAGCUGCUAGAAAUAGCAGGUAAUACCGAAUACACUCGGCAUAUCACAAGAGGUGUUGAGGAAAGGAAGCUACGGCUUCGCUUGAGGAUGAGCUUGCGUCCCAUUAGCUAGUUGGUGAGGUAAGGGCCCACCAAGGCGACGAUGGGUAUCCGGCCUGAGAGGGUGAACGGACACAUUGGGACUGAGAUACGGCCCAAACUCCUACGGGAGGCAGCAGCUAAGAAUAUUCCGCAAUGGACGGAAGUCUGACGGAGCGACGCCGCGUGGAUGAAGAAGGCUGAAAAGUUGUAAAAUCCUUUUGUUGAUGAAGAAUAAGGGUGAGAGGGAAUGCUCAUCUGAUGACGGUAAUCGACGAAUAAGCCCCGGCUAAUUACGUG